Molecule: transfer RNA, 74 nt
Filed under: Candidatus Woesearchaeota archaeon
Lineage: Archaea; Nanobdellati; Candidatus Woesearchaeota
Description: tRNA-Phe
Rfam family: tRNA
About the family: Transfer RNA (tRNA) molecules are approximately 80 nucleotides in length. Their secondary structure includes four short double-helical elements and three loops (D, anti-codon, and T loops). Further hydrogen bonds mediate the characteristic L-shaped molecular structure. tRNAs have two regions of fundamental functional importance: the anti-codon, which is responsible for specific mRNA codon recognition, and the 3' end, to which the tRNAs corresponding amino acid is attached (by aminoacyl-tRNA synthetases). tRNAs cope with the degeneracy of the genetic code in two manners: having more than one tRNA (with a specific anti-codon) for a particular amino acid; and 'wobble' base-pairing, i.e. permitting non-standard base-pairing at the 3rd anti-codon position.
Source: RNAcentral
GGGGCGAUAGCUCAGCCUGGGAGAGCACUACGCUGAAGACGUAGGUGUCCUGGAUUCAAAUUCCAGUCGCCCCA